UGUGGGAGCUGGCUCGCCUGCGAUAGCGGUGUGUCAGCCACAGAUAUAUUGCUGACCCACUGCUAUCGCAGGCAAGCCAGCUCCCACA
This 88-nucleotide unclassified non-coding RNA is filed under the name Pseudomonas yamanorum. Lineage: Bacteria; Pseudomonadati; Pseudomonadota; Gammaproteobacteria; Pseudomonadales; Pseudomonadaceae. The record is from RNAcentral.